Molecule: non-coding RNA, 988 nt
Organism: Arachis ipaensis
Lineage: Eukaryota; Viridiplantae; Streptophyta; Magnoliopsida; Fabales; Fabaceae
Source: RefSeq, a predicted model, not a curated record
UUUUCCUACUUUCUAUUUCCAUUUUAUUAUUAUUUUUGUAUAAGGAGUUCACUUGAACUUGCAUGCUAUUAUUCUCAAUUUUUGUAUUUUUCAUUGAUCUUGCAGGAGCGCCAUCUUGGAGAUAUGAAUAAGCAACUUAGGCUCAAGGUUUUGAAAUAUAACAUACACCAAACAUUUCAGCAUAGGAAUUAUUAUUGCAACAAUUCUAGCUACAGAGGAUACAUGCCUCUUGUCAUAUUUGUUUAAUUAAUUUAAUUAAUGAACACAUUUUUAAAUUAAUUUAUUUUCUUGAAAAAUUAAACUUCAAUUUUCAGCUUGAGGCAGAAGGGUUCAAUCUAAAAGCUAUGGAAAGCUUGUGGAGUUCAACUUCAGCUGCUACAAACAACAACUUCAUGGUUUUUUCUUGGACUGAAACUUGAGUCAAGUAUUAUACUACUGGUGUCAAUUAUUUUAUAAAAGCAAUUUAAAAAUCAUAGACUAUAUAUAUAGUAGGGAUUUCUAUCAAUAGUAACUGACAUGUUUACAUUCUAUGGGAAAAAGAGAAGUCACGCCCCUUGAUCUUAGUGCAAUAACCAAAUUAAAAGUUUAUCUAUUUAGCUUUAUCUAAUGUUGCUUUCUUAGUUUCUUUCAAUAGGUCACUUUCACACUAUCAUGUGCAUAUGAUGAGAAACCUUGAAUUUGAUGUUAAUUUGAACGGACUCAUAGUAGUUUUCAUUCUUAUUUUAUUUUGUUUUCUCCCUCAACACCAAAAUUAUCUUUCAGUCUGAAGAAUCGUUGGUGGAGCUGCUGCAAAAUCUCGCAGACAUAGAUAUUACAUUCCAAGGUUGAAGAUUAACAACCAGCAUAAUGUUGAUGAGUAAGCACUUGUUGUGAAUUGAAGCCUCUUCUCUUCUUCAACUCAAUGACAGUUCUUGAUUGCUUAAUUGAUCAAAGACUUGUAUAAAGUAUCCAGUCACUGAAUUGAAUCUGAAUCACUUGCUUUUAGACU